CCUACGGGAGGCAGCAGUGAGGAAUAUUGGUCAAUGGGCGGGAGCCUGAACCAGCCAAGCCGCGUGAGGGAAGAAGGUACAGCGGAUUGUAAACCUCUUUUGUCAGGGAACAAAGGCCGGGACUAGUCCCCGGCUGAGUGUACCCGAAGAAAAAGCAUCGGCUAACUCCGUGCCAGCAGCCGCGGUAAUACGGAGGAGGCGAGCGUUAUCCGGAUUUAUUGGGUUUAAAGGGUGCGCAGGCGGACUGUUAAGUCAGCGGUAAAAGCCCGGGGCUCAACCCCUGCGAGCCGUUGAAACUGGGGGGCUGGAGUUGGCGAGAGGUACGCGGAAUGCGCGGUGUAGCGGUGACAUGCUUAGAUAUCGCGCAGAACCCCGAUUGCGAAGGCAGCGUACCGGCUCGCAACUGACGCUGAUGCACGAAAGCGUGGGUAUCGAACAGGAUUAGAUACCCUUGUAGUC
RNAcentral lists this ribosomal RNA (459 nucleotides) under uncultured bacterium. Its description in RNAcentral is "partial 16S ribosomal RNA". It matches the Rfam family "Bacterial small subunit ribosomal RNA", at positions 338 to 795 of the family's 1533-position model. The record is from RNAcentral.